GAUGAACGCUGGCGGCGUGCUUAACACAUGCAAGUCGAACGGUGAAGGCGGAGCUUGCUCUGCUGGAUCAGUGGCGAACGGAUGAGUAACACGUGAGCAAUCUGCCCCUGACUCUGGGAUAAGCGCUGGAAACGGCGUCUAAUACUGGAUACGAGCUGCGAAGGCAUCUUCAGCAGCUGGAAAGAAUUUCGGUCAGGGAUGAGCUCGCGGCCUAUCAGCUUGUUGGUGAGGUAAUGGCUCACCAAGGCGUCGACGGGUAGCCGGCCUGAGAGGGUGACCGGCCACACUGGGACUGAGACGCGGCCCAGACUCCUACGGGAGGCAGCAGUGGGGAAUAUUGCACAAUGGGCGAAAGCCUGAUGCAGCAACGCCGCGUGAGGGACGACGGCCCUCGGGUUGUAAACCUCUUUUAGCAGGGAAGAAGCGAAAGUGACGGUACCUGCAGAAAAAGCGCCGGCUAACUACGUG
RNAcentral lists this ribosomal RNA (468 nucleotides) under uncultured bacterium. Its description in RNAcentral is "partial 16S ribosomal RNA". It matches the Rfam family "Bacterial small subunit ribosomal RNA", at positions 28 to 507 of the family's 1533-position model. The record is from RNAcentral.